UUUCCGUAGGUGAACCUGCGGAAGGAUCAUUAUUGUAUAACCGAGGUGCGAGGGCUGUCGCUGACCCGAAAGGUCGUGCACGCCCGAGUGCCCUCACACACAUCCAUCUCACCCCUAUGUGCACCACCGCGUGGGUCCCCCUUUGGCUUGUUCGGAGGGGGGCUUACGUUUUCACACAAACUUUGUAUGCAGUGUAGAACGAAUUUUUUGUUUUUGCGAUCACGCAAUCAAUACAACUUUCAACAACGGAUCUCUUGGCUCUC
RNAcentral lists this unclassified non-coding RNA (263 nucleotides) under plant metagenome. RNAcentral describes it as "partial contains small subunit ribosomal RNA, internal transcribed spacer 1, and 5.8S ribosomal RNA". The record is from RNAcentral.